RNAcentral lists this ribosomal RNA (307 nucleotides) under Pireneitega lini. Its description in RNAcentral is "partial 12S ribosomal RNA". Lineage: Eukaryota; Metazoa; Arthropoda; Arachnida; Araneae; Agelenidae. The record is from RNAcentral.
AAACUAAUUUAAUUUGGCGGCAUUUCAUCUAAUCAGAGGAAUUUGUCUAUUAAUCGAUAUUCCACGUUAAAUUUCACUUUAAUUUUAAAAUUUAUAUACCGCCAUCUUAAGAAUCAAUUAAAAAAUUUCUUUCCAAAUAAAUAAUAAAAAGUUAGGUCAAGGUGUAAUCCAUAUAAAAGAAUAAGAUGAAUUACAUUAAAUAAUAUUUAAAGAUUAUCUAUAAAAUAUAAAUAUAAAUAAGGAUUUGAAAGUAAUAUAUAAACAAUAAUUAUAUACGAAAAAGAUAAUAAAUGUGCACACAUCGCCC